AUAUCUGUUAACACAAUUUACUUGAGUACUUUUAAUCUCUUUCAGGGCAUAAAAGGAGCCAAAGGUUCAAAAGGUGCACCGGGUGAUGCUGGAAGAUCACUGCCAGGUGAUAAAGGCGACAAUGUAAGAGAUCUUUUAAUCUCUAAAUAAUUCAACAUUAAGGUGUGAAGUGUGCUAGGACUGUACAUAUGUGGAAAAAUAAAGUCUUUAAAAAAUGAUGAUAAUUCUAAUUUCUGAUUCAGGGCGAACAGGGCCCACCUGGUCCUCAGGGACCAGCAGAAGUUGUAGAAUUCCCUCCUGACUUUCUGCCACCCAAAGGUUACAAGGGAGACAAAGGACUUCCUGGACCAUGUGGUCCAAAGGGCAAAAGUGGUGGUAGGGGAGACCACUGGUGGGCUACUAGUGAUGUUACCAAAGGCGAGCAAGGAAUUGUUGGAUUGCCUGGUCCAAGGGGUUUCCCUGGACU
RNAcentral lists this long non-coding RNA (466 nucleotides) under Gouania willdenowi (blunt-snouted clingfish). RNAcentral describes it as "lncRNA (ENSGWIG00000006466.1)". The record is from RNAcentral. Lineage: Eukaryota; Metazoa; Chordata; Actinopteri; Blenniiformes; Gobiesocidae.